GAUGAACGCUGGCGGCGUGCCUAAUACAUGCAAGUCGAGCGAACGGACGAGAAGCUUGCUUCUCUGAUGUUAGCGGCGGACGGGUGCGUAACACGUGGAUAACCUACCUAUAAGACUGGGAUAACUUCGGGAAACCGUAGCUAAUACCGGAUCAUAUUUUGAACCGCAUGGUUCAAAAGUGGAAGACGGUCUUGCUGUCACUUAUAGAUGGAUCCGCGCUGCAUUAGCUAGUUGGUAAGGUAACGGCUUACCAAGGCAACGAUGCAUAGCCGACCUGAGAGGGUGAUCGGCCACACUGGAACUGAGACACGGUCCAGACUCCUACGGGAGGCAGCAGUAGGGAAUCUUCCGCAAUGGGCGAAAGCCUGACGGAGCAACGCCGCGUGAGUGAUGAAGGUCUUCGGAUCGUAAAACUCUGUUAUUAGGGAAGAACAUAUGUGUAAGUAACUGUGCACAUCUUGACGGUACCUAAUCAGAAAGCCACGGCUAACUACGUG
This 497-nucleotide ribosomal RNA is filed under the name uncultured bacterium. RNAcentral describes it as "partial 16S ribosomal RNA". It matches the Rfam family "Bacterial small subunit ribosomal RNA", at positions 28 to 507 of the family's 1533-position model. The record is from RNAcentral.